GGACUUGGGUCUGGAAUCAUCAGUAUUGUGAAGGGGAACCCUGGCAAAUUUGGCUACCAAGAGUAUAUGGCACUUCCUCUGCACUAUAUGUGUGCCUGUUAAUUGUUUGCAUGCUGAAGUGUGUCUCAACUGGUAGUGAGCCAUGCACUAGACCGGGCUUGCCCUAGCAGCGUGAGAAGGAAGGGAGGUGUUGGAGGGAGGAGGGCAAGGCGAAGGAGCGUGGACUACGUAAGGGAAAUAUUGAAUCUGAAGAUGCACUAUCCAAUGAGCACAUAAAUGGAGUUGCUCCCCAAAUGGAGGAGAUCAAGUUACUUAUGUUUUCAACUCCCGAAACUUGAUCUCUUUGAGCAGGACUGGGAUAGAAAAUUUUGCUAGGUUAGAGAUCAGAAAUGAACGUUGGUUCGUUGUGUUUUAUGCACCUUGGCGUCGCUUUUUCCAGGGUAGAUGGUGAGCAAAAGGCAUUUGCCAAGCAGAAAAUUCAGCUUUGGAGCAUUAUCACUGCACAAUUUUCCCUGCCUCCAAGCCUGUAAAAUAUUCCUCGGAGAAGAGGGAUAUUGAUUCACUGCUGGCUUUUGUCGAUUCGCUUCAAUCCCUAAGAGCAUGCUUAGACCCUUACUUAUCCACUU
Populus euphratica (Euphrates poplar) is the source of this 626-nucleotide long non-coding RNA. RefSeq lists it as uncharacterized. NCBI's taxonomy places the organism in Eukaryota, Viridiplantae, Streptophyta, Magnoliopsida, Malpighiales, Salicaceae. The record is from RefSeq and is a predicted model, not a curated record. The transcript has 2 exons.